This 1026-nucleotide long non-coding RNA is filed under the name Coturnix japonica (Japanese quail). RNAcentral describes it as "lncRNA (ENSCJPG00005001891.1)". The record is from RNAcentral. Lineage: Eukaryota; Metazoa; Chordata; Aves; Galliformes; Phasianidae.
CGCUAUGGGUCUCAUUGGAUUCUAUGGGUCGCUAUGGGUCUCAUUGGAUUCUAUGGGUCGCUAUGGGUCUCAUUGGAUUCUAUGGGUCUCUAUGGGUCUCUAUGGGUCGCUAUGGGUCUCAUUGGAUUCUAUGGGUCUCUAUGGGUCUCAUUGGAUUCUAUGGGUCUCUAUGGGUCUCAUUGGAUUCUAUGGGUCACUAUGGGUCUCAUUGUAUUCUAUGGGUCGCUAUGGGUCUCAUUGUAUUCUAUGGGUCGCUAUGGGUCUCAAUGGAUUCUAUGGGUCUCUAUGGGUCUCACUGGAUUCUAUGGGUCUCUAUGGGUCUCUAUGGGUCGCUAUGGGUUUCAUUGGAUUCUAUGGGUUGCUAUGGGUCUCUAUGGGUCGCUAUGGGUCUCAUUGGAUUCUAUGGGUCUCUAUGGGUCUCUAUGGGUCUCUAUGGGUCUCUAUGGGUCGCUAUGGGGCUGAUGCUGUGUCCCCCCCCCCCCAGGACGUGUUCUCCUUCAUCUUCGAUGGGAUCCCCCCCUCCCUGCACGGUGUGGGGCUGCGGGGUGACCCACAACUGCUGGGGGCCUUCUGUGGGGGGGGGCCCUCCCAGCCCCACACAUUGGUGGCCCGCUCAGGUGUGGCUGUCAUAUACUCUGCCCCCCCCGCCGUGGGGCUGAACGUCACUGUCCGUCUGUGUGGGGCGGGGCCGGGGGGUGGGGCCGACUGUGGGGCGGAGCCUGAGGAGACCACGCCCCCUUCAGUGCACACUGACCAAUGGGAGCAAGAGGAGGAGUGUAAUGAGACCCGGUGCCUGGAGCCGUGGAGCGUCCAAUGGGAGCAGCUGGGGGCGGAGCAUAAAGGAGCCUCCGGCUCCUUCCUGGGUCGCUUUGGUCACUCCCUAUUGGCUGCCGCUGGCCCCGCCCCCUUUGGCCCCGCCCUCUGGCUCUAUGGCGGCCUGUCGCUGCAGCAAGGCAUGCUGGGAACGCUCUACAGGUCUGUCAAUCAAAACCCUUUAAACCCCGCCCCCCUUUAAGCCCCGCCCCC